Molecule: ribosomal RNA, 245 nt
Filed under: uncultured bacterium
Lineage: Bacteria
Description: partial 16S ribosomal RNA
Rfam family: Bacterial small subunit ribosomal RNA
Source: RNAcentral
GGUGACGUUAAGCAAAUCCCNGAAAUAACGUCCCAGUUCGGAUUGUAGUCUGCAACCCGACUACAUGAAGCUGGAAUCGCUAGUAAUCGCGAAUCAGAAUGUCGCGGUGAAUACGUUCCCGGGUCUUGUACACACCGCCCGUCACACCAUGGGAGUCGGAAAUGCCCGAAGUCAGUGACCCAACCGUAAGGAGGGAGCCGCCGAAGGUGGAGCCGGUAACUGGGGUGAAGUCGUAACAAGGUAUC